UACGUAGGGUGCGAGCGUUGUCCGGAAUCACUGGGCGUAAAGGGCGCGUAGGCGGCCUGAUAAGUAGGGGGUGAAAUCCUGCGGCUUAACCGCAGGGCUGCCUUCUAAACUGUCAGGCUGGAGCACAGUAGAGGCAGGUGGAAUUCCCGGUGUAGCGGUGGAAUGCGUAGAGAUCGGGAAGAACAUCAGUGGCGAAGGCGGCCUGCUGGGCUGUUGCUGACGCUGAGGCGCGACAGCGUGGGGAGCAAACAGGG
RNAcentral lists this ribosomal RNA (254 nucleotides) under uncultured bacterium. Its description in RNAcentral is "partial 16S ribosomal RNA". It matches the Rfam family "Bacterial small subunit ribosomal RNA", at positions 524 to 777 of the family's 1533-position model. The record is from RNAcentral.